RNAcentral lists this long non-coding RNA (824 nucleotides) under Numida meleagris (helmeted guineafowl). Its description in RNAcentral is "lncRNA (ENSNMEG00000004510.1)". The record is from RNAcentral. Lineage: Eukaryota; Metazoa; Chordata; Aves; Galliformes; Numididae.
AUGGUAGUUCCCAUUCUGCCCUCUUUCUUCAGGGCUCACCUGAAGACUGCAGGGAGCUUGAGGCCAUCUGCUGGGCUCCUCUUGUUGUCCCAUCGCAGCAGCUCAGAGGACACCAGUCCCAGUCCUGCUGUCUUUCUCAGGCCUCACCUGGAGGCUGCAGGGAGCUCGGGGCCAUUUGCUGAAUUCCUCAUGUUGUCUCAGUUCAGCAGGUUGGAGGACUCCAGUUCCUGUCCAGGUCCUUCUUUUUUCCUCAGAGCUCGAGAAAGAAGAGAUAUCUGGUGUCAUGGGUGUACGGUUGUAGCGGAGAAAGCAGCACAGUUUAUCCACCUACACCACCUUCCUGCUUCUCAGAAGCUCCAGUUCUGCAUCUCAAGGUUAUUCUUACCAGCUUUCGGGUGUGUUAAUUGAUGGUACAUGAACAACAACUGCUGACCACAGCUUGAGCAAAGCUGAUGUGUGCUAAUCAAACAUCUGUGUAUUAUCAGCAUCAGAACUUCAGCUGCUAUGUAACUUUAUCGGAGGAAAACUCAAGAUGCAUGUGGCUAUUCAGAUACUUGAACAAUUAAAGGAUUGCCCCCUUCCUCCAGUAUCUCAUUUAUUCUUGAACAUUUACAUUCUUCCUAAUGCAAACUCUCAGGUCCUUUUUGAUUUCUGGCCCUCACACUGAAAGUCAGUGUGUUCUGGAUAAACCCCUUGAUGCGUGUGCCAAUAUGGCACCAGCUAUAUUUCAUGUCCCUCUUGUCCCACCAUGUUAUGAAAUCUUGUGAAUCCCAUAUGAAUGUUCUUGUAAUAAAGAAGAAUUCUUGAGGGGACUACCUUGGGGA